Molecule: ribosomal RNA, 878 nt
Filed under: uncultured bacterium
Lineage: Bacteria
Description: bacterial SSU rRNA
Rfam family: Bacterial small subunit ribosomal RNA
Source: RNAcentral
AUUGAACGCUGGCGGAAUGCUUUACACAUGCAAGUCGAACGGCAGCACGGGAGCUUGCUCCUGGUGGCGAGUGGCGAACGGGUGAGUAACACAUCGGAACAUGCCUAGUCGUGGGGGAUACCGUAGCGAAAGUUACGUUAAUACCGCAUACGUCCUGAGGGAGAAAGCAGGGGAUUCGCAAGAACCUUGCGCGAUUAGAGUGGCCGAUGCCUGAUUAGCUUGUUGGUGGGGUAAAGGCCUACCAAGGCGACGAUCAGUAGCGGGUCUGAGAGGAUGAUCCGCCACACUGGAACUGAGACACGGUCCAGACUCCUACGGGAGGCAGCAGUGGGGAAUUUUGGACAAUGGGGGCAACCCUGAUCCAGCCAUUCCGCGUGAGUGAAGAAGGCCUUCGGGUUGUAAAGCUCUUUCAGCGGGAACGAAACGGUACGCUCUAACAUAGCGUGCUAAUGACGGUACCCGCAGAAGAAGCACCGGCUAACUACGUGCCAGCAGCCGCGGUAAUACGUAGGGUGCGAGCGUUAAUCGGAAUUACUGGGCGUAAAGCGUGCGCAGGCGGAUUGUUAAGCAAGAUGUGAAAUCCCCGGGCUUAACCUGGGAAUGGCAUUUUGAACUGGAAGGCUAGAGUGUGUCAGAGGGGGGUAGAAUUCCACGUGUAGCAGUGAAAUGCGUAGAGAUGUGGAGGAAUACCGAUGGCGAAGGCAGCCCCCUGGGAUAACACUGACGCUCAUGUACGAAAGCGUGGGUAGCAAACAGGAUUAGAUACCCUGGUAGUCCACGCCCUAAACGAUGUCAACUGGUUGUUGGGAGAGUGAAAUCUCUUAGUAACGAAGCUAACGCGUGAAGUUGACCGCCUGGGGAGUACGGUCGCAAGAUUA